UGGGUGUUCACGGAGCAAGUCUGCAAACUC
RNAcentral lists this non-coding RNA (30 nucleotides) under Rattus norvegicus (Norway rat). The record is from RNAcentral. Lineage: Eukaryota; Metazoa; Chordata; Mammalia; Rodentia; Muridae.